This 1346-nucleotide ribosomal RNA is filed under the name uncultured bacterium. RNAcentral describes it as "partial 16S ribosomal RNA". It matches the Rfam family "Bacterial small subunit ribosomal RNA", at positions 28 to 1381 of the family's 1533-position model. The record is from RNAcentral.
GACGAACGCUGUCGGCGUGCUUAACACAUGCAAGUCGAACGGAAAGGCCCUGCUUUUGUGGGGUGCUCGAGUGGCGAACGGGUGAGUAACACGUGAGUAACCUGCCCUUGACUUUGGGAUAACUUCAGGAAACUGGGGCUAAUACCGGAUAGGAGCUCCUGCUGCAUGGUGGGGGUUGGAAAGUUUCGGCGGUUGGGGAUGGACUCGCGGCUUAUCAGCUUGUUGGUGGGGUAGUGGCUUACCAAGGCUUUGACGGGUAGCCGGCCUGAGAGGGUGACCGGCCACAUUGGGACUGAGAUACGGCCCAGACUCCUACGGGAGGCAGCAGUGGGGAAUAUUGCACAAUGGGCGGAAGCCUGAUGCAGCAACGCCGCGUGCGGGAUGACGGCCUUCGGGUUGUAAACCGCUUUCGCCUGUGACGAAGCGUGAGUGACGGUAAUGGGUAAAGAAGCACCGGCUAACUACGUGCCAGCAGCCGCGGUGAUACGUAGGGUGCGAGCGUUGUCCGGAUUUAUUGGGCGUAAAGGGCUCGUAGGUGGUUGAUCGCGUCGGAAGUGUAAUCUUGGGGCUUAACCCUGAGCGUGCUUUCGAUACGGGUUGACUUGAGGAAGGUAGGGGAGAAUGGAAUUCCUGGUGGAGCGGUGGAAUGCGCAGAUAUCAGGAGGAACACCAGUGGCGAAGGCGGUUCUCUGGGCCUUUCCUGACGCUGAGGAGCGAAAGCGUGGGGAGCGAACAGGCUUAGAUACCCUGGUAGUCCACGCUGUAAACGGUGGGUACUAGGUGUGGGGUCCAUUCCACGGGUUCCGUGCCGUAGUUAACGCUUUAAGUACCCCGCCUGGGGAGUACGGCCGCAAGGCUAAAACUCAAAGGAAUUGACGGGGCCCCGCACAAGCGGCGGAGCAUGCGGAUUAAUUCGAUGCAACGCGUAGAACCUUACCUGGGUUUGACAUGGAUCGGGAGUGCUCAGAGAUGGGUGUGCCUCUUUUGGGGUCGGUUCACAGGUGGUGCAUGGCUGUCGUCAGCUCGUGUCGUGAGAUGUUGGGUUUAGUCCCGCAACGAGCGCAACCCUUGUUCACUGUUGCCAGCACGUUAUGGUGGGGACUCAGUGGAGACCGCCGGGGUCAACUCGGAGGAAGGUGGGGAUGACGUCAAGUCAUCAUGCCCCUUAUGUCCAGGGCUUCACGCAUGCUACAAUGGCUGGUACAGAGAGUGGCGAGCCUGUGAGGGUGAGCGAAUCUCGGAAAGCCGGUCUCAGUUCGGAUUGGGGUCUGCAACUCGACCUCAUGAAGUCGGAGUCGCUAGUAAUCGCAGAUCAGCAACGCUGCGGUGAAUACGUUCCCGGGGCU